GACGUGGGGGGCCAGCGUUGCUCGGAAUUACUGGGUGUAAAGGGUCAGUAGGCAGUGUGGCAAGUCGGGAGUGAAAUCUCUGGGCUUAACUCAGAGACUGCUUCCGAAACUGCUGUGCUUGAGUAUGGGAGAGGCGCGUGGAAUUGCAGGUGUAGCGGUGAAAUGCGUAGAUAUCGGGAGGAACACCAGUGGCGAAGGCGGCUUACUGGUCGGCAUCUGACGCUGAGAGGCGAAAGCUGGGGGAGCAAACGGG
Molecule: ribosomal RNA, 253 nt
Filed under: uncultured prokaryote
Description: partial 16S ribosomal RNA
Rfam family: Bacterial small subunit ribosomal RNA
Source: RNAcentral